This 480-nucleotide ribosomal RNA is filed under the name uncultured bacterium. RNAcentral describes it as "bacterial SSU rRNA". It matches the Rfam family "Bacterial small subunit ribosomal RNA", at positions 28 to 507 of the family's 1533-position model. The record is from RNAcentral.
GAUGAACGCUGGCGGCGUGCUUAACACAUGUAAGUCGAACGAAGCACUUUAUUACGAUUUCUUCGGAAUGACGAUUUAGUGACUGAGUGGCGGACGGGUGAGUAACGCGUGGGUAACCUGCCUUAUACAGGGGGAUAACAGUUAGAAAUGACUGCUAAUACCGCAUAAGCGCACAGGAUUGCAUGAUCUGGUGUGAAAAACUCCGGUGGUAUAAGAUGGACCCGCGUCUGAUUAGCUGGUUGGUGAGGUAACGGCCCACCAAGGCGACGAUCAGUAGCCGACCUGAGAGGUUGAUCGGCCACAUUGGGACUGAGACACGGCCCAGACUCCUACGGGAGGCAGCAGUGGGGGAUAUUGGACAAUGGGGGAAACCCUGAUCCAGCGAUGCCGCGUGAGGGAAGAAGGUUUUCGGAUUGUAAACCUCUGUGGACAGGGACGAUAAUGACGGUACCUGUUUAGAAAGCCACGGCUAACUACGUG